UCAAAUUGUGGCCUCCGUUCGAAGAGACGCCGUGCCUUGUUUGUCAUAAACACACAAAUUUUGAACAUAUUGUUUCUAGCCUGCUGUGGCUGCUAAAAUGUUAGCACUGUAGCUCACGUAGCCAUGUUACUUCCUGUCACGUCGUAUGAGGAUUACUACUUCCUGUUUGGGUGUUUGGUUAUUACAGUUGUGACAUAAUGAUGAUCAUGAAGGUAUUGUCUUUCAUCCUCUGUUUUUCUCUCCCAGCUUCACCCGCCAAUCAAGAGUCGACCUUUACAUCAGGAGGAAUGCUUCAUUUCGGACCUUCAUCACGUCCCAUCCUCGGAAGAAUGGAUGCUUUCAACCAACCGGAGUCCUUGACGGUGCUGAUGAGGAUGUCCAGCGUGCCGUCGGUGUGUACGGUCGCCCGGGAGGAGUUGGACAUGAGGCGUCCGUCGGGGGCGAUCCAGUGGAUAAUGGGGUCCGGGUCGCCGCGGGCUUUACAGCGCAGCGUGACGCUUUGACCCUCCAAAGCUCGCAGCUCCUGAGGAUGAGUGGCAGAUGUCAUCCAGGAGCUGUUGAUAGGUGAACUGGUCCGACUUGACGCCCGUGCGGCUCUUCAUCUCCAGGAAGAGGCCCAUGUUAUCUCGCGGCGGGUCGGCGAUGCUGCGACUCCACACGGCCUCUGUGAUGCCCAGCAGCUGGCGUACACGAGCGGAGAUGGCCUGCAGAGGUACACAGCAGGGGGGGGGGUGGAGAGGAAGUCCUGUGAGCUCAUACUCUAUCUUCACUUUUGUUCCGUUGCACCGCCGAGAGUUGAGUCAA
Molecule: long non-coding RNA, 804 nt
Organism: Doryrhamphus excisus (bluestripe pipefish)
Lineage: Eukaryota; Metazoa; Chordata; Actinopteri; Syngnathiformes; Syngnathidae
Source: RefSeq, a predicted model, not a curated record